This 525-nucleotide ribosomal RNA is filed under the name uncultured bacterium. RNAcentral's name for it is "bacterial SSU rRNA". It matches the Rfam family "Bacterial small subunit ribosomal RNA", at positions 400 to 916 of the family's 1533-position model. The record is from RNAcentral.
CGUGGGUGAAGACGGCCUGCGGGUUGUAAAGCCCUUUUGGUGGGGAAGAAAGGCGGGGUAUGAACAGUGCCCGGCUGUGACGUUACCCACAGAAGAAGCACCGGCUAACUCCGUGCCAGCAGCCGCGGUAAUACGGAGGGUGCGAGCGUUAAUCGAAAUUACUGGGCGUAAAGCGCGUGUAGGCGGUUAGGCAAGUCAGAUGUGAAAGCCUUUCGCUUAACGGAAGAAUUGCAUUUGAAACUACCUGGCUGGAGUUCGGGAGAGGAGAGUGGAAUUCCCGGUGUAGAGGUGAAAUUCGUAGAUAUCGGGAGGAACACCGGUGGCGAAGGCGGCUCUCUGGCCCGAUACUGACGCUGAGACGCGAAAGCGUGGGGAGCAAACAGGAUUAGAUACCCUGGUAGUCCACGCGGUAAACGAUGGGCACUAGGUGUAGGAGGUAUUGACCCCUUCUGUGCCGAAGCUAACGCAUUAAGUGCCCCGCCUGGGGAGUACGGCCGCAAGGCUAAAACUCAAAGGAAUUGACGG